GUCGCGGUCUCGGGCCCGCCCCGAACGAGGAGGAGCGGAGGCCGCGCCGUCCCGCCCCUUCGUGGUCUCAGCCCUCAUCGCUCCGCUUGGCUGUCCUGGUGCCCCUUGGCUCCAGUUGCCGCUUCUCCGUGCCUCCGCUUUAUUGAUGCCAACUCGCUGAAACAGAGAUGCAGAAAUGGAGGUUCAGAAAGUCAAACAGGAGUUACACGACUGGGAAGUGGCAGAGCCAGAUUUGACCCAGGUGAUGCUUCAGGCUCUGUGCUUACCGUGUCCAUCAUCAUCACCUACUUUAAAAGGCCCAUCCUUUCCUUGCUUGUGGCAAUUCAACAUGUGACUUUUGCUUAUAGCAAAAUUUAAAAAAUGACAAACCUAUAAAUUGUCACAACAUGGAAAUACGGCAGUUUACAUACAUUUCUGUUUGUCACUGUGUUCUCCAUUGAUUGCAGUACUUCAUACAUUCUAUUUUAUAACAAGAGUUACUACUAUGUCAGGUCACAAUUGCAUUCUUUGGCAUUUCCAUAUGGGCAUGAUACCCCAACAUUUUUCUAGAGUCCAUGUAACCUGCAGAUUUGACCAUUUUUAAAAACUGUUAGUAUCAUUUAAAUAGAAUCAAGGAACAACAGAAUUAUUAAUUCCUCUGAAACAGAAAGCUUUACUCAAAGUUAGUAUUUUCCUGAAAUGACUGAAGUCUGCCCUUUAGGAACAAUAUUCAGAGCCUAUUUAAAAGGUGUACAUUUAAAACCAAGCUAUUACAUAAAGUUUAAAACAAAUAUAAAGACACAGGAUGGCUUCUGAACUCAGUUUUUCAGUGACAUGACCUAUCUUGCAGGGUGAUCAUGUGAAAAACGACUACUGAGCAGACAUACAAAGGAUGAAAGUAGAAAACAACACCACAAUAAAAACAAGAUACAAUCGAAGACUAAACCCUGGGGUUAGCCACAUGAGUUCCCUGGUACACCUUGAAUUGCAGAAUGAUUGAAAUUGCCUUAUCUCCUCACUUGUGAAACAGAACAUAAUCACUGUGUUGCAAAGUGUCCCUGACAAAUAGUAGCUGGUGAAUAAAUCUUUAUUCUCAUUCCCAACAAUUUUAACAUAGGAGGAUGGUUUUUAUGUUUUUCUGUAUCAUGAUCGAGUCAUAUGAACAGAAUCAAGUUUAUCUGUUGCUGUCUGGGGACAGUAGUAGUGUUUAUAUGCAAGUUUAUGACAUGUCAAACCACGUAAGGAAGGUUUUUUUUAAAAAGAUGUAAUUUUUCAGUUAAUUUUUUUAAAGAAAAAUUUCUUAAAAUGCUUUCAUUUUGUCAAAAAAGCAUUUGAUGUUGAUAGUGGGGGAGGCUAUGCAAUAUGUAGGAUCAGGAAGUAUAUGGGUAAUUCAUGAAUCUUCUGCUCAAUUUUGUUGUGAACCUAAAACUACCCUGAAAAAGUAUACAGCUUACCUUGCCUUUAGGUUACUUUCCUUACGGGUUACAUAGGUGGGUGGAGAACUUAAGCAAGUCAGUCAAUUUGUUGUUGCUUAGUUUCUGUGUUAUGUCUGACUCUUUGUGACCCCAUAGACUGCAGCAGGCCAGGCUUCCCUGUCUUUCACUGUCUGCUGCGGUUUGCUCAUAUUCAUAUCCAUUGAAUCUGUGAUGUUAUCUAACCAUAGCAUAAGUCAAUAUAUUGAGGCAAAUGGAAACCAGGUUUCUUACUGUCCAGAAAAGGAGUUACAGAUAUGGAAAGAGGGAAGUCUCGAAUGAAUCUGGAUAGUGGUAGACUGAAAUUGAAAACUGGUAUGAACUUAUGGUUUUUGUGUAUGUGUGUGUGUAUUUUGCAUAUGUAUGCAUAAAACUAUAUAUAGAUAUAUAGUCUAGCUUUGUCUACCAAGAGGGCGUGGGAGCAGUGACACCCCAGAGCAAUGAGCAUAUCUAGCACCGUUUUUUAUCGGUGGAGUCAGGGCUGUUUGGAAAAAUGCUGAUCCCAAGGCUGAAGCAAACACACAAGAUGGGUCUGAAAGUAUAGAAGUGGUCAGAGAAUAAUGGGUGGCUUGUCAGUCCAGAGAGAAGCUAAGCUCUGAGAGGCUCCCAAUAGCUAAAUGUGACAAUUUGAGUAAAUCUGUGAUGACAAUAAUGAAUUCUGUCUCACUGAAUAGGAAUCCACAAACCCAUUUUGAUAUGUGAGUAAUAAAGAAGAGGUCUUCCUUAUAGCAAAAUGCCCAUUAAUAAAUAUAUGGUGCUUCCCUGGUGGCUCAGCCAGUAAAGAAUCUGCCUGCAAAGCAGGAGACCUGGGAUCAGUCCCUGGGUUGGGAAGAUCCCCUGGAGAAGGGAUAGGCUAUUACCCACUCCAGUAUUCUUGCCUGGGAAAUCCUAUGGACAGAGGAGCUUGGUGGGCUACAGUCCAUGAGGUCAUAAGAGUUGGACACAACACACACACACACACACACACACACACACAAUACAGGUGUGCAGGAACCAGAAAAUCAGUGUUUGGCGACCAACCAAAGUAAUAAUUCAGAUAAGACAGCUAAGAGCAAAGAGCUCAAGUUGGAUAAAUAGCAAUGUAUUUAUUUAGUCUCAAAAUAUCACCUCUACAAAAUAAUAUAAAGGUAGAUAUUAAUUAUAAAGGGCAAGAGUACUGUGGUGAAGCCUAUCAGAUCAUCCAGUUUACAUCAACAGCAAGGAGACAAACUGACCUUGUAUGCCUCCUGAUAUGAGACACUGAAAAGAACACGGCCUGCAUCACCUCUGAGGUAUUCCUGUCACAGACACUCACUCUGAACCGAAGCAUGUGGAAGCACUGAAUGGAAACUGAAUGACUUUUACAAAACAAUAAAUUAAGGUGUGAAGGUCAAGGAAGAAGGAAUAGUUCUGGAUUGACUGCGACUCAAGAAGCAUAACUAAGAACAAAUCUGAUCUUGGUUCGGAUCCUUUUGUUAUAGAGGAUAUAACUAGACCGCUGGCAAAACCUGAGUGGGUGGGGCUUUUGAGAGUGAAUGGUAUAUGUGAGUGCUCUGUGGUAUUCUUAGGACUCUUUUUUAAGAAUGGAAUUAUUCCAAAAUAAAUAAAAGUAACAACCUUUGUUCAAAAACUUUUAUUUACUAUAAAGACAAAACACCAAAAUAGGUACAAAUACUAUAAAAUUGGUUCAAUGGGGUAAAAAUUUUAAUUAAAAUAUCUUUGAUAUAUUUAAAAUAACAAAGAAUACAUUUAAGCCAAAUUUUCUUAACCCAGAGAUUCUUUUUUUGUAACAUUUGCUUACACAGUAAGGUGCUAAUAGAAGUUAGCCCUUAAGCCCUGGAAGUCUUAGGAAUCAUAGUCAUACAGCAAAUAUAAUUUCAUUGUGAAAGUGAACUUUGGUAGAAGAAAAAUCUAUAGGACACCUGAGGUAGUAGAAACUGGGAUAAACAGCAGUAGACGUUAUUUACAACUUGAGUACCAAAUAACAUUAAGAACACAAAAAUAAUUACACAUUACAAUUUUCAGUCCAGCUUUGAUCCAAAGAAAAUAAGAAUAUUACAUCACAUUUGCAUUGAAAACAAAACAAAAAAAACAAAACACCACAAUUACCAGCAAGCUGAGGGAACUGCAAACAAACUCAAACAAUGGAUUUUGACAUCUAGAGGCAGUUUGAGUUUGAAAUGUGGUGGGCAUGGUGGUCUACAAAGUAAUACUGAUUAGCUGAGGUUCCUCAGUUUAUACAGUUUACAUCUCUGUCAGACACAGUAUUAAUCUGACCAAUGAUCUUCCAGUACAUAAAAUGGCAAGAGUGCAUCCUUUAAAGCUUGCACAUGAGAGACUUGGAAACAAUCUUAUUAGAACUGUGAAAAUUCUAAAGUAGUCAAAAAAAAAAAAAAGGAAACACAACACAUUUAGAGCUACCAAACUUCACAUUUCAGUACUAUUUUUAACUCUUCAAAUAUUGCCAAUCUUCCAACCAAAGGAAUGUAAAAUUUCACUAAGAAACACAUUCAUUUAUAU
Long non-coding RNA from Bubalus bubalis (water buffalo), 3950 nucleotides. RefSeq lists it as uncharacterized. The record is from RefSeq and is a predicted model, not a curated record. Lineage: Eukaryota; Metazoa; Chordata; Mammalia; Artiodactyla; Bovidae. The transcript has 2 exons.